GUUGCAAAGCCCGCGCCAAGCCCGCCAUUCGGGGAAGCAGGCGCCGAGCUCUUCGAAGGCUCCUCUCACCUCCUUCCGGCAGAGACGCCCAUCGCCGUUCUUGUCGUGCUUCUUGAAGAUCGCCUUCAGCUGGUCCUCGGCAAGGGGUACGUUAAAGGACUUGCGCACCGGGCGUCGAAUGCCUAUGUGUAUUUGUGUCAUUAAUGUGUGAGUGGAAGAGAAAACAAAGGUGGUUGAGGUUAUUAAUUUUGUGUUGUGACAAGGGAAGAUGUAUGUAUAAGGGGCUUAUAUAAGAGUUUUGAUUGGGCUUUAUGGUCAUUUGCAACUUCAUCAUGUGAUAAUAGUCCUACUUAUCUUGGUGGAUGUGUGGCAUUUUUGUGAAGAGUGAUGGAGUAGAAAUAGAAAAUUUAUACAGCUUAUUUUUUGUGCGGUAUGACGUUGCAAAAUGAGUAUCUUUCAAUAUUAAAUAAAAUAUUUAUUAAGAGAUAAUUUUUAUUUAUCAAAAUAUUAUUGCCAGCAGACCUCAUUCUUGUGGUAUUAAUAAUAUACUAGUAUUGACGUUGUCCACGGGCACUACGUAAUAAAAAAUCUAAAAUUACGUUUAUCAUUUUGAUAUUUUCAUCGCUUUAGAAGAACAAAUAAAAAUAAAAAUAAAUAAAUAACAAUCACAAAUAAGGGAAACUUUCAGUAACUCUCAGAAAGGGAAAACUAAUUAAUUAAUAUAAACUAACAUAAGAGAGUUAUUUUUCACCCCUGGGACAUCGCCAUUCCCCUCGAUGUGACCUCCCUUUUUUUACUUUAAUUUUACCCUCAAUUUUUUCUCAAACUUUAAUUUUGUCAUUCAACAAUUUUAUUCAUUUUUAAUACCCUUUAUUCUUUUUUAAUACCUCUUUAUUUUAUUUUUUCUUACUUUCACUUUGGAAAAUUUUUAUAUUAUAAAAAAAUUAUGACCUUUAUUUUUUUCUUUUAAUCCCUGGAUUCUGUUUUUUUCUUUUUACUUCACUUUUAAAUUUUUAUAUAAAAAAAUUAUGAAAAAUUUAUAAUUUUUACUCCACCUUAUGUUUUUUAUAAAAGAAAAAAAUAUGGAUCAAAAUUUUUAAUAUUUUUUUAAAAAUUUUGAUGGGUUGAUAGUUAUAUAUUAUUUGCUUUUAGACUAUUCUGAAAAAAUAAUAAGUAUUUUUAAGUAGUUUGAUUUAUCAUAAAAAAUAUAGAAAACUAAUACUUUUAACGUAUCAAUAAAUUUCAAUAUGACAUAAAAACAUAACUUUUAUCAAUAUCUUCUCCAAAAAAAAAAUUAUAUAUUUUUUUAUAAUUUUUUUAUAUAAAAAUUCGAAAGUGAAGUAAAAAAAUAAAAAUAAAGAAUUAAUGGGUUUAAAAGAAAAUUAAAUAAAGGGUGUUUUUAAAAAUGUAAAUUGUACGCGCCCCCCACCCCCUUCUGAAAAGUUGCCCCUCCCGCUGUUCCCCACCCCUUUCCUCGCGUGUUUUACACGUAUACCCCUACCACACUAAAAUAGUUUUCCACCUUUUUUCCCCAAACCAAAAAACCCUUAAUGAUUUAUCUUUAGCCUUUCGUUUUAAUUAUCCUUUUUUUUCAGCUCAUUUUUGUCAAUUAAAAACAAAAAACCCAACACCCCCCCUUUUUAUAUAUUUUAUUUAAAGUUAUUUUAUUAAUUUUAUUUAUUUUUUAAUCAGUUUUGUUUAUUAUUUGUUUAUAAUUUUUGUAAGUAAUUUUCUUAUUUUUUAUUUUUUAUUUUUUUUUCAAGUAAUCUUUUCAGAUAUUUUUUUUUUUCAGUUACCUCCUUUUUUUUAUGAAAUUUUAUUUCGUUAUUUUAUUAGUUUUCUUGAUUUUUUAAUUUUACACUUUAUUUAUUAUUUUUCUAUUAAUUUUUUUAGCUUUUUUUUAAUUAAUCCCGUUUUUUCAGGCUCAUUUUUUCUAAGUUAACCCCCUUUUAUGUAAUUUUAUUUCGUUCUUUGAUUAAUUUUAUUUUUUUAACCAUUUUUUUUUAUUUUUUCAUAAUUUUUUUUAAAUUUUGCACAUGUCAGAAAACUCCCCUCCCUUUUAAAAUUACCAUCAAACCCUUGAUACAUGUCAGAACAUCCGUCUCUUUUUAAUAUUACCCCCCAACCCUUGACACAUGGUAGAACAUCCGCCUCUCUUUUAAAGUGCCCUCAAACCCUUGACACAUGUCAGAACCUCUCCCUUACUUUCAAUUAUUUCCUCAACCCCUCGACAAAAAAUGAAUUAUAAAUGACAUUCUCUUUUAUAUUUGACUUUGAGGGUUAACUUUUAUAAUUUUUCUAAUAAAGACAAAAUUUAGAGUGUAAGAAUAUAAAAAAAUGAGUGUAGAAACAAAAUUUUUUUUUUGUGUAUUAUGUUAUGUACUCUUCCUUGAACCUAUAGCUAAAUAAAGAAAAAUUUUCGUCCACCGCUUUUUAACUUCUUUAAAUUUUUAUAAAUAACGGACUCUUUAAAAAUGUUACAAUUAAAAUAACAAACAGAUAUGAAAGAUGUAAAAAAGUAAUAUAAAAAAAUAAUUAUAAAAAAGAUUAUUAAAAAUAAUGAAAAAAAAGAAACAAAACUAAAAAACAAAUACACAAAUUAAAAUAAAAAAAUUAAAAAAAGACUGAGAAAAUAAAAACCAAAAAUUGAGAGAGAGAGAAAAUAAAAACAAAAGGAAGGAAAAAGGAGGGGCCAUAAUGGGAUCUUUUUGGGGUGGACCGGGGGGAUUUUUUCAGAGGGGGGCGCGUUAGCAACUGCCCUUUUAAAAUUUUAUAUAUAAAAAAUUAUUAUAAAUUUUAAAAAAAAAUUAACAAAAUAAAAAAUAAAUGGGUAUUAAAAAAAAUAUAUAAAGAGGUAAUGCUGAAAGUUAUGGGAGGAGAGAGAGUGAGAGUAUGAUGGAGAGAGAAAGGAAAGUGAGGAGGAGAGCGGGGAGAGAGAGAGUGAAAGUGAUAUUUUGGCGGGAAAAAAAUAAUUUGAUGUGAAAUUUGAAAACUGUUGGAUCAACUCAAAUUGAUUUUAGCCGUAGAUAGCGAGAGAUAGAUUUGGGAUUCAACGUAGUUGUGAUUUGUAUUAUAGAUACAUCAUUUUUUUUUGUGAGUGAUUUAGGUUUAUAAUCCGCAAAAAAAGUAAUGAUAGAGAAACAAACAAUUAAAACCUCAUACUGGUGUUGGUUAAUUAAACACGGCCUUUCAUUUUGAAACCAAUCAAACACCCAUAAAAGAUAAAAAUAUCAUUCUUGUAAUAUAUAUAUAUAUAUAUGGGAUCCGAUUUGGAGACACAAGUUUAGAUAUUCCAUUCUAGCCCUUGAUUUUUUUUUAAAUCAAAGGCUGAGAUUAGAGGUUAUCAAACCCAUUGAUUCUCACGCACUCCCCUGUCUCUCUUUUUCUCUCUUCUUUCUCUCCCAUUACUAUAAUGUCAGGCCAUCUUUUAGGAAACAAAUACCCACCAACUAGAGAGAGAAGCCCCAAUUUUUGUUUCAAUAUUGGAUUGUUCUGCUAUUCAAGCUUAAUGGGUCUUGUCCACAUCCAAGUCCCUUGACCUCUUUAUGGUGAUAAAUAAAUUAUAAUCGAGGCCAAUUUUACUAAAAUAAUACCGGUGAUUGUGAAGGACACAAAAAAAAUAAAUUUGGUGGGCAGAUAAAAAUUACGGCUUUCUUUCGUAUAUUUUGCUUGUUUGUGAUGUGUUGUGUUGAUCAUGGGUUUUGUGAGGUUUGGUUGUUUGUCGCUUAUUGAGGGCCUUGCGAUUCUUGCUGAGAAAAAAAAAAUAGAGCGAGAAAAUGCGAGAAAGUAGGGGAAAAAGCUUGAGAGGCAUAUGUUUUUUUCUUAGGAAUGGAGGUCACAGAGUUGUAGAGUGAGAGAGAGGUCAUGGAGGUGCUGCUGGGAGUGCAUGAGAAUAAGUGGAUUUGAUAACCUCUAAUCUUAGCCCUUGAUUUCAAGAAAAAUCAAGAAUUAGGAUGGAGUGUCUAAACUUGGGUUUUCGGAUCCAGUUCAUAUAUGUAUAUAUAUAUAUUUUUAUAUUUUUUUUUGUACGAAUAUCAUCUUCCUUUUGUAUUGAGUGAUUUCGGUUCAGAAUCCAUGCAAAUAUAACUGAUAGUUUCAUUAAUAUUCAAAAUAGAGCACCCAUAAACAUCGUUCUAUUUAUAAAAGUAGUAUCGUCAUAUCAUGGUAUUUUUUACGUAAAUUUUAUAUAAUAAUAUAGUUUUCCAUGCAAAAUAGAGUGAAAACUAAUGUUAUACAAAUAAAAUAUUGUAUGGAAUCCCAACUAUAUUAUAGCCCAUAAUUUCAAAAAUAUCAUUGUUACAUCUUGUUGGAUGGAUUUUUUGUGUAAAAAUUUUAAAAUUUUUAAAAGCUUUUAUAUAUCAGGAAGAUGGUAUAGAAGGGUCUCACUUCACAUCUUGCAAUUGUUUCCAUUUUGAUACUUUAGAUUUUGCUUAAAAGAAUUAAUUUUCACUAAAAAAACGUUGUAACAAAUAUCACUUUAUGAUACCACGUUGCAGUCCUGUGAAAAUCAUACAUAGAAAAAAUUCUCAAACAACUACAAAAAAAUUGUUUAAAUUGUAUUUAAUUUGAAUUAUGAAUUUAUAAAGGAAUUUAUCACAAAUGAUAAAAGAUCAAUGAAUAGACUUAGCCUCUUAUAAUUUAUAGCAUCUAGUCCAUGGACCAAAAAAAGAUGCUUAUAAAUUUAUAAUUAAAUUAAAGUUAUUCUUUCUUGUAUGAAUAUAUGAAAGUUGAUGCGAGCCAAAAAAGAAUAUAUGGAACAAGGUGGAGCUAGGAUAUUAGUUUAGGGGGUUAAAAUCAUAAAAUUAUAUAUAAUUAUGUGAUAAUAGUGUAAAUUUUCUUUUCAGUGGGGUUAAAAUUAUAUUGGUAGUGUAUAUUUUUUUUUCAAUGGGUUAAUAGUGUAAUUUUUUUUAAAGAAUGAUAGUGUAAUAUUUUUUAUAGUAGGCUUAAUUGACCCCACACCCAUGAUUGUGCCUCUCCACUGUUGAUAUGGGAAGUUGACCGGGAAACUCUACAUGUUCAAAAAUAAAGAGGUUGUGACUAUGGCCCCGUUUGGUAAUGCUUAAAAGCCAAGUUUUUUUAAAAUUUAUUACUAAAAAAGUCAAGAUUUUUUGACUUUUUUGCUUUUUUGCUUUAUUUUAGUUACAAAUAAAUAAAAAAGCGAAAAAAACAACUCUGACUGUCUUUUUUGUUUAUAAGUUUAAAACAAAACAACCGAAAAACUGAUAUCAAACGGAACCUAUAUAGCAUCAAUAUUGAUCUUUCAUAUCCAACCAUUUCCUCUUUCAAGUUGCAAAGCAUCAAAAUAGACACUUUAUACGUAUCUCACUUUAUGCGUAUCUCUUAUCAAAUCUUGGAGACACUUUUAUGCGUAUCUCUCUCUCUGUGGAAGGGUUUGGAGGGUAGCAAGUCUUGUUCAGUAUGGGUAUAUGUACAACAAGAGGAGGCUUUACAGAUCGUGUUAUUGAGUCGAGUAUGUGUAGGUCUAACCCACGGCUAGUCCAGCGGUUUAAAGAACAAACUUUGGAAUGAACUGUAAAUUCGGACAUUCUAGAUUUGACUUCCUUUAUAGUCAUCUAAACUUAAUUAAUAACUGUAGUUCGCGUGUGAUUGCAAUUAUUCAAAAUUUACUCUACAAGGUGAAUCUAAUAUGGCUAUGAAGAUGUUCCUCCUGGCUUACAAAAAAAAGUUAAAUUACACUAACCUCCCCUGAAGUUCUAAGUUAAUACACAAAGUACCCCUGAUAUUUAAAAAAUUAUAAUUAUCUCCCCUAAAGUUUGAAACUUGUAACAGAUUCUUCUCAUCUUACACUGACCACCACUGAAAUUAUGAGUUAAUACACAAAGCACUCCUGACAAAGUUACUUCUUUUUUUCUUUUUGACAAAUGAUGUUGAUUUGACGUCAGGGUGCUUUGUGUAUUAACCAGAAACCUCAGGGGUGGUCAGUGUAAAAUGGAGAAAUCUGUUACAAGUUUCAAAUAUCAGGGGAGGUCAUUGUAAUUUCUUAAAUAUCAGGAUUUAGGGGUACUUUGUGUAUUAAUCUGGAACUUCAGGGGAGGUCAGUGUAAUUUACCCCCAAAAAAAUGUGUUGCCCCGCCUAUUUUUUUCUGGCUGGGGUGGGUCCCAUGCCUGUCGGGCCGGGCUGGUUCAUUUGUGAAAUGCACAAGCUCAGGCACCCAUGAGCUCUGAGCUCUGGCUUAAAUCCGGCCUUAGUUUUGGGCUUGGGCCAGAAUGAUUCGGCCCAGAAAAAUGGGCCCCUUGAUAGAAGUGGUACCAGAAUGAAAAAAUACUCUAAAAAGUGAAAAUAAUAUAAAAUAAAGUAAAAAUAAUAAAAAUAAAAUUAUUUUCUAAAUCAGCGUUACUCAUUUUAAACACUAAUACCUUGUUUAUUAGAAAUAAGUUGUACGAAAAGUGAGAUAAUUUUCACACUCAAAUUGUAUAUAUAUGACCUCUUCUUCUAUUUCUUUUUUAUUUUGUAGUUUUUGAAAAAAAUAAAAUAAAAACAUAAAUCAAAUUUACAUGCAUGUGGUUGUUCGGUUAUUAUUUUAAAUUUCUUGUAAUUUUCAUCACUCUCUUGCUAAAUAAACAUAGAAAAUAAAAUAUUAUUAAUUUCUUUAUCUUUUCCUACCAUUUUUCUUUGAUUCAAAUCCACGACAUAGUUUAACGAACCGAACUGUGAUUGAACCGGUCAAGGCAUCGGUCAAUGGUCAGUGUUUCAACCGGUUAUAUAAUAAAUAAUAAUAAAAAUAUUUAAAUAAAAAUAUUAAUUACAAUUAUAAAUUGGAUUAAAGAUACUCUUUUUUAUACAAUAUUCAACAUAAGUAUAAAUAAUAAAUACCUAUAAAAGAAAUUCACAAAAAAUAUUUAAUUAUAAAAUAUUUAAGAUGAUUUCUUUUCUUUUUAAUUUUAAUAUUUUUAAACUAAUUACUUAUUGGUAGUUUUAUAUUUAAAAGAAAAAAACAUAAAAUUUGGUCAUAAUAGAAUGCAUUAUUAAGCAUAAUAAUGUGCAAUUAUUUGUUGUUUGUCUUUUUUUUGUUUUAUUUUUUCUUUUUUCCUACUUCCAUUUUUUAUCUUUAUUUUUUAUUUUAUUUUUUAUUUUUACUAAUUUAUUUUUGAAUUUAAUACGUAUCUCGAUAUAUCUAAUAUAAUAUAAUAAAUAUUUAAAUAAUUGAUUUGUACAUUUUUUUUUAAUUGCAGCACUCAAUUUUAUUUUUAUUAAAAAUAAAGUUUCAAAUUACUAUCUCAAUAAAAUAAUACCAAAAUCAAAAUCAAAAUACAAAAAAAUUAAAAAUUAAAAACCACUAGGCCACUAAAUAUUUGUGUUUUUUUAAAGAUAUUUUGUUGUUUUUUUUUUUUAUUUUUUUUUUUCAAAAACCGCCGGUUCACUAAAUCACCGGCCGUUUUCAAUUGUUUUUUAAAUACCGGUCGUUUCGGCCGGUUCAAUCCGGUUCAUCAUUUCCGGUAUUUUAAUUAAACCGUCCCCCGGUUCACUGUCCGGUUCCCGGUUUCAAUUCGAUUGUUAUAACUAGGCACAUGACCAAGUUAAGAUAAGUUGUCAGAACUACAAGCUGUCAGAAUGGACAAUGUUGUGAAUAUAUGCACAUAGAUAGAGCAUCUUUUAUACUUCUUUUCUUUUUCUUUUGGUGGAAUCUUUCCUAAUUUCUACCAUGCUUUUCCAAAUCUUCAUUUACAUCCCAAGGUUUCCUGAGAGUGAAAUAGAAUUCAAUCAUCUUUAUUCUCAAAAAAGUUAGUUUCUUUCCAAAUUUUUUUGCAUUAAUAUAUAUAAUUCAAAGGAAUGGUUUAAAUCAGGGACAAAGCCAGAAUUUAAGUUUAAUGGGGUCAAAAUUUAUAAAAUUUAUGUUCCGGGGUCACAAUUAUAGAAUUUAAGGCAAAUUACUAAUUUUUUGUGGGGUUAAAAUUAUAAAAUUUAUAGAAUUUAAGGCAAAUUACUAUUUUUUUUGGGUUUAAAAUUGUAUUUAUGAUAAAUUAUAUUAGGAAUAGUAGUGUAAAUUUUUUUCCAGUAGGAUCAAUUGAUCUCACUUGCCUUAGUGUGGCUCUGCCGAUGGUUUUUAUUAUAACCUUUUGAUUGAACUUAAUUAGGUCAAGCUUGUGGAUUUACAAUCAUUAAUCAAAGAUAAAUGGAUCAAAAAGGAUAUUACUAAUUUAAGAGAAAAACUACGGUCUUAAAAUUUGGACCAAUAAAAAUUCUCAGAAUUCAAAAUGAAUAGUUCAAAUUCACUUUAAAUGUUUGAAUCUCACAUCACCAAGUAAAUUUGAAUCAUUCAUUUUGAAUGCUAAGAAUUUUUUCGUGUCUAAAUUCUGGCACUAUGGCAGUAUUCUUAUAUCCUGCUAGAUCAUGCAUAUACACGGAUUUCUAACUUUUUUCUUUUUAAAAAAAAGAAGAAAUAUACAUAAAUUAUAUUGAAAUUAUUUUCUAAUACUUCUCAACUAUAUAAAUUAAUAAUUGUUUCCCUAAGUAAUUACAAAAGUGAACUUUUGAUAAUGUGAAAACUUGGUCUUUUGUUUUGGGAUUUAAAUUCCCGUUGUUUUCUAAAAACAGUAAAUUAUAUUCAAAAAAAAUUUUAAAAAUCGUCAACCAAAUAAAAUUUCACAUAAGAUCACAUCUUAUCAUUAUCACAAUAGAAACUAAUUAGGACCUAAUCGUAAACAAACGUACAUGCAUACACAUAUGGAAAGGUACACCUUCGAAUCCAUUCCCUUAUUUAGGAAGGUACAACACAAGAAAGCUUAGUGGUUAUUUUAUUUCGUUGUUUAUUUCUUUUAUGGGCUAGUAUUUUCGCCCAGCCUAGUCUGAGAGAGACUAGUUAGGUGACGGUGUAACCAAGCUGCACGGCAUACUUGACGAGUCCGUUCAUCUCCUCCUCGUUGAUGAAGCCGUCCCCGUUAGUAUCGGCAUUACGAAGUGCCAGCCAAGCCCGCAAUUCGGGGAUGUAGGCGCCGAGCUCUUUGAAGGCUCCUCUCAUCUCUUUCCAGCAGAGACGCCCGUCGCCGUUCCUGUCGUGCUUCUUGAAGAUCGCCUUCAGCUGGUCCUCGGCAAAGGUACGUUAACGGACUUGGGCACCGAGUGUCGCAUGACUCUGUCUGUUAGUGUCAUUAAUGUGUGAGUGGAAGAGAAAACAAAGGGGGUUGAGGUUAUUAAUUGUGUUGUGACAAGGAAGGAUGUAUGCAUAAAGGGGCUUAUAUAAGAGUUUUGGUUGGGCA
Molecule: long non-coding RNA, 9219 nt
Filed under: Actinidia chinensis (golden kiwifruit)
Lineage: Eukaryota; Viridiplantae; Streptophyta; Magnoliopsida; Ericales; Actinidiaceae
Description: long non-coding RNA (ACHI_LNC007184)
Source: RNAcentral